RNAcentral lists this unclassified non-coding RNA (338 nucleotides) under soil metagenome. Its description in RNAcentral is "partial contains 5.8S ribosomal RNA, internal transcribed spacer 2, and large subunit ribosomal RNA". The stretch from base 1 to 120 matches the Rfam family "5.8S ribosomal RNA", at positions 35 to 154 of the family's 154-position model. The record is from RNAcentral.
GAUGAAGAACGUAGCGAAAUGCGAUAAGUAAUGUGAAUUGCAGAAUUCAGUGAAUCAUCGAAUCUUUGAACGCACAUUGCGCCCGCCAGCACUCUGGCGGGCAUGCCUGUUCGAGCGUCAUUUCAACCAUCAAGCCCCCAGGGGCUUGUGCUGGGGCCCUGCGGCUGCCCGCAGGCCCUGAAAAUCAGUGGCGGGCUCGCUAUCACACCGAGUGCAGUAGUUUACUCUUUGCUCAGGACGUGUAGCGGGUUCCGGCCGUGAAACCCCCCAAUUUUCAAGGUUGACCUCGGAUCAGGUAGGAAUACCCGCUGAACUUAAGCAUAUCAAUAAGCGGAGGA